AGCGAACGCUGGCGGCAGGCCUAACACAUGCAAGUCGAACGAACUCUUCGGAGUUAGUGGCGGACGGGUGAGUAACACGUGGGAACGUGCCUUUUGGUUCGGAAUAACUCAGGGAAACUUGUGCUAAUACCGAAUGUGCCCUUCGGGGGAAAGAUUUAUCGCCAUUAGAGCGGCCCGCGUCUGAUUAGCUAGUUGGUUAGGUAACGGCUCACCAAGGCGACGAUCAGUAGCUGGUCUGAGAGGAUGACCAGCCACACUGGGACUGAGACACGGCCCAGAAUCCUACGGGAGGCAGCAGUGGGGAAUAUUGCGCAAUGGGCGAAAGCCUGACGCAGCCAUGACGCGUGAAUGAUGAAGGCCUUAGGAUUGUAAAAUUCUUUCACCGGGGACGAUAAUGACGGUACCCGGAGAAGAAGCCCCGGCUAACUUCGUG
Molecule: ribosomal RNA, 433 nt
Filed under: uncultured bacterium
Lineage: Bacteria
Description: partial 16S ribosomal RNA
Rfam family: Bacterial small subunit ribosomal RNA
Source: RNAcentral